RNAcentral lists this ribosomal RNA (800 nucleotides) under uncultured eukaryote. Its description in RNAcentral is "bacterial SSU rRNA". It matches the Rfam family "Eukaryotic small subunit ribosomal RNA", at positions 1 to 825 of the family's 1831-position model. The record is from RNAcentral.
ACCUGGUUGAUCCUGCCAGUAGUCAUAUGCUUGUCUCAAAGACUAAGCCAUGCAUGUGUUAGUAUAAAAGUUAUACUUGAAACUGCGAAUGGCUCAUUAAAACAGUUAUAGUUUAUUUGGUAAUCGAAUCUACAUGGAUAACCGUGGUAAUUCUAGAGCUAAUACAUGCAGUUCGCCCGACUUCAUGGAAGGGCCGUAUUUAUUAGAUAACAGACCAAUAUUCCUCGUGUCUAUUGGGUGAAUCAUAGUAACUAAUCGGAUCGCGGGCUCGCCCCGCGACAGACCAUUCAAGUUUCUGCCCCAUCAGCUUUCGAUGGUAGUGUAUUGGACUACCAUGGCUUUUACGGGUAACGGAGGAUUAGGGUUCGAUUCCGGAGAGGGAGCCUGAGAAACGGCUACCACAUCUAAGGGAGGCAGCAGGCGCGUAAAUUACCCAAUGCUAAUUCAGCGAGGUAGUGACAAGAAAUAACGGGUCGGGGCAUAUACCCUGGGACUGAAAUGAAGUGAAUUUACACCCCUUGGUAGAGCAACAAUUGGAGGGCAAGUCUGGUGCCAGCAGCCGCGGUAAUUCCAGCUCCAAUAGCGUAUAUUAAAGUUGUUGCAGUUAAAAAGCUCGUAGUUGGAUUUCUGGUGGCGAGAUACCAUACGCCCGCGCGUUUUUGGUAGCUCUCCACCAUCCUUCUGUUAACCUAGAUUAGACUUUACUGGCUGUUUAGGAGCCCAGAUAUUUUACCUUGAGAAAAUUAGAGUGUUUCAGGCAGGCUUGCGCCCGGAUACAUUAGCAUGGAAUAAUGGAAUAG